GAUCCUGGCUCAGAGCGAACGUUAGCGGCGCGCCUAACACAUGCAAGUCGCACGAGAAAGGGGGCAACCCCCGGUACAGUGGCGCACGGGUGAGUAACACGUGGGUGAUCUGCCCAGAAGAAGGGGAUAAACCUCUCGAAAAGGGGGGGCUAAUACCGCAUAGGACCACCGGGGCUCUGGCUCUGUGGGUGAAAAGGGGGCCUCUGUUUACAAGCUCCUGCUUCUGGAUGAGCCCGCGUCCCAUCAGCUAGUUGGUAGGGUAAUGGCCUACCAAGGCUACGACGGGUAGCUGGUCUAAGAGGAUGGCCAGCCACACUGGAACUGAGACACGGUCCAGACUCCUACGGGAGGCAGCAGUGGGGAAUCUUGCGCAAUGGGCGAAAGCCUGACGCAGCGACGCCGCGUGGGUGACGAAGGCCUUCGGGUUGUAAAGCCCUGUGGGGUAGAACGAACUGGCAUCGGGCUAAUAUCCCGGU
Molecule: ribosomal RNA, 476 nt
Filed under: uncultured bacterium
Lineage: Bacteria
Description: bacterial SSU rRNA
Rfam family: Bacterial small subunit ribosomal RNA
Source: RNAcentral